AGGCUGCUGGCGGUAGGUUCGCCCUGACGCCUUGGUGGUUCCCUGGCCGCGGCGACCGGUGGUCCCAUGUCCAUCCCGGCUCAGUGAGCUUCCCCGGGCCCUGUCUGGACAGGCCUGCCUGCGUGCUGGGACAUGUCUGGCCUCCAAGGACCGUCGGUGGGCGAUGGCUGCAACGGUGGAGGGGCCAGAGCUGGAGGCAGCUGCUGCCGCAGGAGAUGCUUCGGAGGAUUCGGAUGCAGGGUCCAGGGCGCUGCCUUUCCUGGGCGGCAACCGGCUGAGCUUGGACCUGUACCCCAGGGGCUGCCAGCAGCUGCUGCACCUGUGUGUCCAGCAGCCUCUUCAGCUGCUGCAGGUGGAAUUCUUGCGUCUGAGCACUCACGAGGACCCUCAGCUGCUGGAGGCCACCCUGGCCCAGCUGCCUCAGAGCCUGUCCUGCCUCCGCUCCCUGGUCCUCAAAGGUGAGUUCCACCUGUUCUGGGCCCUGUCUGCAUCUCUCACUCUGCCCUGCCUCUGCUGCAUGUCCUCAAAGGCAAACCCGGGUCCCAGCCCCAGCUCCAGGCCGCCCCUUCCGGCUCCCCAGGUGUGAACUGUUCUGCUCUUGGUCCUGUCCAGCCCCAUCGCCAUCCUCGGCAAUCACCACCCCCAGUGUGGGGCUGGCUGGGCCCUGGCUCCCGGACCCUGACGCUGCCCAGUGGGGGUCUCUCCAGACCACAGUGCAGAUGUUGUUCCUGGGGAAGGUUGUGGGUGAUGGUUGUCAGCUGAGAUGAGCCGGUGGUCUCCACCCCUGUCUCCUUCCAUCUGCAGGCACCUCUCCAGUGUUUCUGUCUGUCUGUCCCUGUCUGGCUGGGGUGGGGGUGGGGUGGGAGGUCUGUGCCUCUUGAGCAGCUGUUUCUCUGGCUGGCAGGGUCGAUCUGGACCUCGGACCCUGGCUCUGAGGGCCACAUCCGCCUCCCCCCUUCCCAGGAGGGCAACGCCGGGACACACUGGGUGCCUGUCUCCGGGGUGCCCUGACCAACCUGCCUGCUGGUCUGAGUGGCCUGGCCCAUCUGGCCCACCUGGACCUGAGCUUCAACAGCCUGGAGACACUGCCGGCCUGUGUCCUGCGGAUGCGAGGUCUGGGUGCACUCUUGCUGUCUCACAACUGCCUCUCUGAGCUGCCUGAGGCUCUGGGGGCCAUCCCCGCCCUCACUUUCCUCGCGGUGACACACAACCGCCUGCAGACGCUGCCCCCAGCACUGGGGGCCCUAUCCACCCUGCAGCGCCUCGAUCUUUCUCAGAACCUGCUGGACACGCUACCUCCUGAGAUUGGAGGCCUGGGCAGCCUCCUGGAGCUCAACCUAGCCUCCAACCGGCUGCAGAGCCUCCCGGCCUCUCUAGGUGAGUAGCCCCUGCACCCCUGGCACACUGGCCCCACGGGAGGGCCCCUGAAGCCUGCCUGUCUUCUGCAGGGGCCUCUGCACCCACAGGCUUGGUCCACAGCUGCCUCUUGGUUGUCCCUCCACCUCCCUGGCCUUUGAGACUCCCUCAGCGGCUUUGUCGGAGUUCUCUGAGCCCAGCUGUGGAGGAGAGUCUGAAACAGCUGCUCUGGGAGGCGGCAGCAGGAGUGUCCCAGCGCCGCAGGCCGGGCUGGUGCUGAGCCUAAGCCAGCACCUGCCCGCAGCGGGACUUCGGUCCUUGCGGCUCCUUGUCCUGCACAGCAACCUCCUGGCCUCUGUGCCAGCUGGCCUGGCCCGCCUCCCGUUCCUCACCCGGCUUGACCUGAGGGACAAUCAGCUCCGGGACGUGCCCCCUGAGCUGCUAGACGCCCCCUUCGUGCGCCUGCAGGGGAACCCCCUGGGCGAGGCCUCGCCAGGCGCCCCGAGUUCACCAGUGGCAGCCCUCAUUCCAGAAAUGCCCAGACUGUUCCUGACCUCAGAUUUGGACAGCUUUCCUGUGACCCCUCGAGGCUGCUCAGUGACCCUGGCCUGUGGCGUCCGCCUGCAGUUCCCAGCGGGAGCCACUGCCACCCCCAUCACCAUCCACUAUCGGCUGCUGCUGCCAGAGCCAGGCCUCGUCCCCCUGGGUCCUCAUGAUGCCCUGCUCAGCCAUGUGCUAGAGCUGCAGCCCCACGGUGUGGCCUUCCAGCAGGAUGUGGGGCUGUGGCUGCUCUUCACCCCACCGCGGGCCCGGCGCUGCCGUGAAGUGGUGGUCAGGACCCGGAAUGACAACAGCUGGGGUGACCUGGAGACCUACCUGGAGGAAGAGGCACCCCAGCGGCUCUGGGCUCACUGCCAGGCGCCCCACUUCUCCUGGUUCCUUGUGGUUUCCCGCCCUGUGUCCAAUGCCUGCCUGGUGCCACCAGAGGGGACACUGCUGUGCUCCUCGGGUCAUCCUGGGGUCAAAGUCAUCUUCCCCCCUGGGGCCACUGAGGAGCCUCGUCGAGUCUCCAUGCAGGUAUGGCCAGGACAGCACUGAGGGUGGCAGGCAGCGCCUCACCCCACAGGCAGGUGCUCAGGGGGCCUGUCUGCCCCAGGUGGUGCGCAUGGCUGGCCGAGAGCUGCAGGCCCUCCUGGGAGAACCAGAGGCUGCAGUGAGCCCCCUGCUGUGCCUCUCACAGAACGGUCCCCCCAGCUUCCUCCGACCGGUCACCGUGCAGCUGCCUCUGCCCUCCGGCAUCACAGGCCUCAGUCUGGACCGGUCCCGCCUGCACCUGUUGUACUGGGCCCCUCCUGCAGCCACCUGGGAUGACAUCACAGCUCAGGUGGGCCUGGAGCUCACCCACCUGUAUGCACGCUUCCAGGUCACACACUUCUCCUGGUCAGUGCCCCCCAGCUUUCUCAGCUCCCCUCCCCCCAGUCUGUACAGCCCUCCUCACCCCCAGUCCUCCCAGGUACUGGCUCUGGUACACCACCAAGAACUGCGUGGGAGGCCUGGCUCGGAAGGCCUGGGAGCGGCUGCGGCUGCACCGUGUGAACCUCAUCGCUCUGCAGCGGCGCCGGGACCCUGAGCAGGUCCUGCUGCAGUGCCUGCCCCGAAACAAGGUGGACGCCACCCUUCGGCGGCUGCUGGAGCGGUACCGGGGCCCUGAGCCCUCUGACACGGUGGAGAUGUUCGAGGGCGAAGAGUUCUUUGCGGCCUUUGAGCGCGGCAUCGACGUGGAUGCUGACCGCCCUGACUGUGUGGAGGGCAGAAUCUGCUUUGUCUUCUACUCGCACCUGAAGAAUGUGAAGGAGGUAUACGUGACUACUGCCCUGGACCGGGAGGCUCAGGCUGUGCGGGGCCAGGUGUCCUUCUACCGUGGUGCAGUGCCCGUACAGGUGCCCGAGGAGGCUGAGGCUGCCCGGCAGAGGAAGGGCGCAGACGCCCUGUGGAUGGCCACUCUGCCCAUCAAGCUGCCGGUGGGACUGAGGGACAGCAGAGGGGCGGGGCAGGACCGAGGCCCAGGGGUGACCAGGGUGACGUGGUGGAGUUGGGGGUGGAGCCCAGGGCUUACUGCAUUUUUUCCUUCCAACAGAGACUUCGGGGGUCCGAGGGGCCACGGCGGGGGGCUGGCCUCUCCUUGGCACCCUUGAACCUGGGAGAUGCUGAGACCGGCUUUCUGACGCAGAGCAACCUGCUGAGUGUGGCUGGGCGCCUGGGUCCGGACUGGCCAGCCGUGGCCCUGCACCUGGGCGUGUCCUACCGCGAGCUGCAGCGCAUCCGGCACGAGUUCCGGGAUGAUCUGGAUGGGCAGAUCCGCCACAUGCUCUUCUCCUGGGCUGAGCGCCAGGCUGGGCAGCCGGGGGCUGUGGGGCUCCUGGUGCAGGCCCUGGAGCAGAGUGACCGGCAGGACGUGGCUGAAGAGGUGCGCGCAGUCUUGGAGCUUGGCCGCCGCAAGUACCAGGACGGCAUCCGACGCACGGGCUUGGCCCCCAAGGACUCCGCUCUGCCUGGCUCCUCAGCUCCACAGCCCCCAGAGCCUCCCCAGGCCUAGGCUCCACAGACUUUAGGCUGGCCCAGAUAUUCCCCAGUGGAUGGGCAGAGCCCCCACCUUCAAGUCUCUCCAGUGUAUGGGGACAGGUCCCUGUGAGCAACAAAACUGCACUGUUUCUUUG
This 4073-nucleotide small RNA is filed under the name Pongo abelii (Sumatran orangutan). RNAcentral's name for it is "retained intron". Lineage: Eukaryota; Metazoa; Chordata; Mammalia; Primates; Hominidae. The record is from RNAcentral.